RNAcentral lists this non-coding RNA (47 nucleotides) under Schistosoma margrebowiei. The record is from RNAcentral. Lineage: Eukaryota; Metazoa; Platyhelminthes; Trematoda; Strigeidida; Schistosomatidae.
AUUCAGCCGACGAGCCCCAAAAACAUGACGAAACGCGCGUCCUGGAU